GAACAGCAUUCAAUAUUGGGUUCUGAACCAGUCAUUACGAAGGGAAUUGAGGCAUAUGAUGCCUCAAUCUAAUUAUUUCACCUCUGUAGACAAGGAUAGGAUGAAUGCCUGUAUAAAAUUGAGGUUUCCAUUAGAGAAAAGGACGGAGAAAGAUCCAUAUGGUGUAACGUCUAGAUACGCUUGCUGUAUUUAACCAACAGAAUGCAGUAGAAGGAAAGAUGUGCUGCCGGGGACUUCCAACAGGGCCUCAAGAAGCCUUUGCAGCUUCAGCUCCUGCCUUCUUUGGAAUCUCAACAAUAUGUGAAGAAGCUUGAGCUAGCCUGCUGGAGAAACUAUGCAGCGAACUGAGGCGCCCCGGUUAUUAAUCCCCGCUAACUGCCCACCGAUAACAAUGGCAAGAAAGCCCAGUCGACCCCACAUGGAGCAGAGAUGAGUUGUCCCGACUGCACCCUGAACAAGUCCCUGACCCAAGGAUUAUGUACUAAUAAAUGGUGUUAUAUUAAGCCA
Canis lupus familiaris (dog) is the source of this 507-nucleotide long non-coding RNA. RefSeq lists it as uncharacterized. The record is from RefSeq and is a predicted model, not a curated record. NCBI's taxonomy places the organism in Eukaryota, Metazoa, Chordata, Mammalia, Carnivora, Canidae. The transcript has 2 exons.